Molecule: non-coding RNA, 1489 nt
Organism: Poecilia reticulata (guppy)
Lineage: Eukaryota; Metazoa; Chordata; Actinopteri; Cyprinodontiformes; Poeciliidae
Source: RefSeq, a predicted model, not a curated record
CAGUUAGCAUACAAUAGAGAGGCGUGGGGCUCACUGAGGCCUCUUGAACGUGGCACCAAAGGAUGAAAAGCCCAGCACACAAAAUCACAGGUAGUAAUGUGACAAUAAGAUCAAUAAUCAUUCUGCAAUACAUCACCUGCUGCACCCAGUGUUGCUUUGACCUUCCCGCUCAUCUCAUUUCUGUUUUAAACGUGCAAAUCGGGAACGACAAGUUACUUCUGCGCUCAUCGCUAACUGAAGUGCACAGGAUAAAUGCACGAACACAAAAAAACCUAAGUCCCUGCGACAAACAGGAGCAGAAACAAAGAGAGGUGCCAGCACGAAAACAUUAACCAUCCGCGGAAACCCGAAGCCAAUUCCAAAGUUUGCACUUGGAUCCGGGACUCUUACGGAUGCUCCAACCUGAGCUCCAGAUCUCCACAGCUCCUCCAAAGUCACUAGAGGUUUCUUGGCUUCCUUCCCUGAAUAACCCUCUCCUUGCCAGACUCAUCAGUUGAGGUGGAUGGCCAUGUCUACGAAGGUACAUUUUUCCAGGCGUGAAAAGCAGAGGAGGGCCUCCCAUCACUCCUAUACUACAAGAAAGCUGCAACUGAACAAGUCGCUGCGAGGUGUAACUGCUGGAGGCUCUCCUGAAGAAAAGUGCUGCUGCAGAAAUGUGUAGGUUAAAGAGUCUCCAUGACUGUGUAGUGGGAAUGUACUCAGCUUGGCAGCAGAGCUGUGAACAUACUCCACCCUCCACCCCUGCUCUCCUGUGCCAGGGCCGGGCAUUCCUCACACCUCCAGUGGCCGCUUGGUAGCCGCUCUUUUUCUCCCUCUUUCGCUCACAGCAGCUCACACAGACAAACUGUCUUUUUGUUCGUAUGCAACUACUCGAAACUAACUACUGCCUUCCUUCCUUCCUUCAUUACUCCAGCCGCAUACAUUUCCUUCAUUUCUUCAGCCCUUCAUUCUUCCCUCAUUUCCUUUUUUUUUUUAUAUUUCUUUUUCCUUCCACAGCCCUCCAUCUCCUCAACUUUUGGGUCUGAUUUGCAUGGCAGAGCGUAAAGGAUGCAGACAGUGUGAGGGCCCUCCCAUGUCCGUGUCCUUCAGGGCUGCAGCCGGGCUGAGAUUUGUAAUGCUAGACAACACUCUGCUACGCAGGGAUAAAAACCUCAGCCACCGCGUACAAAAAGAGCCUUGUUUUUUUUUUUUCUUCUUCUUCUUCUUCUUCUUCUUUUUUUCUCCUACUUGUUCUUUUCCUUUGCUUUCCAGUGCCUGUGUUGCACUUUUCGCAGGGAUGUGCGGCAUUCCCAAUGCUAUCUGUUUCAGUGAGGAAUGAAGAUUGCAGAGAGAGAGACAAAAACUAUAUCAGGACGACAGAGUCUGAUGGAUGAUGUGGAGGAUAGUUGUUUUCUGUCUGCCUCUCUGCAGCAGGGUGGCUGAGGCCUAUACAGCUAAGAAGUCUUACAGAAAAUAAACUAUUUUUCUUGGCCCCCUUUUUUUUCACUGA